AAAUAUACCAAAAAUCGAAGUAUAAAUUACAGAAAUUGUUGUGUCUGUGUGUUGUACUCAGUUUGGAGUGUCUUGGAUGUCUUGGUUGUUGGAUGGAUGGAUACGUUUACGUACAAACGUUUCGUCAGCCGGUUUGCUGUUGUUUAUCAUUCCAUAUACAUAUUUCACUUUAUUUUUGUUAAUAUAUAGAUUUAUCUUAAACAUAAAAUUGAAUAUUUAACGCAAUUAUUGCUUCAUUUUCAUUUUGUUAUUUUCACGUUUUUCACAAUCUGUUGGACUAACGCAAGCCUUUCAUUCUGUAUCAGUGUUUGGUUAAUGGUUCACAAACAUAGUCGCACAACCUUCAACAUUGAUCGAUAUAUGUAGAUAUAUGUAUAUUUAUAAAACUAAUAAUACUUAAAUAUUGCACAUCGAUUAGCAAAUUAAGAGAGAGAAUAGAAAUAAA
Molecule: long non-coding RNA, 445 nt
Organism: Drosophila arizonae
Lineage: Eukaryota; Metazoa; Arthropoda; Insecta; Diptera; Drosophilidae
Source: RefSeq, a predicted model, not a curated record